This 1346-nucleotide ribosomal RNA is filed under the name bacterium NLAE-zl-G177. Its description in RNAcentral is "16S ribosomal RNA". It matches the Rfam family "Bacterial small subunit ribosomal RNA", at positions 95 to 1450 of the family's 1533-position model. The record is from RNAcentral.
GUGGCGGACGGGUGAGUAACGCGUAAAGAACUUGCCUUACAGACUGGGACAACAUUUGGAAACGAAUGCUAAUACCGGAUAUUAUGACUGAGUCGCAUGAUUUGGUUAUGAAAGCUAUAUGCGCUGUGAGAGAGCUUUGCGUCCCAUUAGUUAGUUGGUGAGGUAACGGCUCACCAAGACGAUGAUGGGUAGCCGGCCUGAGAGGGUGAACGGCCACAAGGGGACUGAGACACGGCCCUUACUCCUACGGGAGGCAGCAGUGGGGAAUAUUGGACAAUGGACCAAAAGUCUGAUCCAGCAAUUCUGUGUGCACGAUGAAGUUUUUCGGAAUGUAAAGUGCUUUCAGUUGGGAAGAAGUCAGUGACGGUACCAACAGAAGAAGCGACGGCUAAAUACGUGCCAGCAGCCGCGGUAAUACGUAUGUCGCAAGCGUUAUCCGGAUUUAUUGGGCGUAAAGCGCGUCUAGGCGGUUUAGUAAGUCUGAUGUGAAAAUGCGGGGGCUCAACCCCGUAUUGCGUUGGAAACUGCUAAACUAGAGUACUGGAGAGGUAGGCGGAACUACAAGUGUAGAGGUGAAAUUCGUAGAUAUUUGUAGGAAUGCCGAUGGGGAAGCCAGCCUACUGGACAGAUACUGACGCUAAAGCGCGAAAGCGUGGGUAGCAAACAGGAUUAGAUACCCUGGUAGUCCACGCCGUAAACGAUGAUUACUAGGUGUUGGGGGUCGAACCUCAGCGCCCAAGCUAACGCGAUAAGUAAUCCGCCUGGGGAGUACGUACGCAAGUAUGAAACUCAAAGGAAUUGACGGGGACCCGCACAAGCGGUGGAGCAUGUGGUUUUAAUUCGACGCAACGCGAGGAACCUUACCAGCGUUUGACAUCCCAAGAAGUUAAACAGAGAUGUUUUCGUGCCUCUUUCGGAGGAACUUGGUGACAGGUGGUGCAUGGCUGUCGUCAGCUCGUGUCGUGAGAUGUUGGGUUAAGUCCCCCAACGAGCGCAACCCCUUUCGUAUGUUACCAUCAUUAAGUUGGGGACUCAUGCGAGACUGCCUGCGAUGAGCAGGAGGAAGGUGGGGAUGACGUCAAGUCAUCAUGCCCCUUAUACGCUGGGCUACACACGUGCUACAAUGGGUAGUACAGAGAGCUGCAAACCUGCGAGGGUAAGCUAAUCUCAUAAAACUAUUCUUAGUUCGGAUUGUACUCUGCAACUCGAGUACAUGAAGUUGGAAUCGCUAGUAAUCGCAAAUCAGCUAUGUUGCGGUGAAUACGUUCUCGGGUCUUGUACACACCGCCCGUCACACCACGAGAGUUGGUUGCACCUGAAGUAAACAGGCCUAACCGUAAGGAAGG